GGCUUACACUUGAUCUAUGAACUUCAGGCAAGUUCAAGUGUUGACCAUUUUAUUGAUUGAUGCU
This is a non-coding RNA of Morus notabilis, 64 nucleotides long. NCBI's taxonomy places the organism in Eukaryota, Viridiplantae, Streptophyta, Magnoliopsida, Rosales, Moraceae. The record is from Rfam.